UGGGGAAUAUUGGACAAUGGGCGCAAGCCUGAUCCAGCCAUGCCGCGUGAGUGAUGAAGGCCCUAGGGUUGUAAAGCUCUUUCACCGGUGAAGAUAAUGACGGUAACCGGAGAAGAAGCCCCGGCUAACUUCGUGCCAGCAGCCGCGGUAAUACGAAGGGGGCUAGCGUUGUUCGGAUUUACUGGGCGUAAAGCGCACGUAGGCGGACUAUUAAGUCAGGGGUGAAAUCCCGGGGCUCAACCCCGGAACUGCCUUUGAUACUGGUAGUCUUGAGUUCGAGAGAGGUGAGUGGAAUUCCGAGUGUAGAGGUGAAAUUCGUAGAUAUUCGGAGGAACACCAGUGGCGAAGGCGGCUCACUGGCUCGUUACUGACGCUGAGGUGCGAAAGCGUGGGGAGCAAACAGG
This 404-nucleotide ribosomal RNA is filed under the name Actinomycetes bacterium. RNAcentral's name for it is "Actinobacteria bacterium partial 16S ribosomal RNA". It matches the Rfam family "Bacterial small subunit ribosomal RNA", at positions 355 to 776 of the family's 1533-position model. The record is from RNAcentral. Lineage: Bacteria; Bacillati; Actinomycetota; Actinomycetes.